GAAGUUUUGGUAGUUGGGACUACCAUGAGACUGUGUUUUUGUUGUUACUGUUGUUGCAUGCUGCUACCACUGCUUACCGAUCUCCUUAUUAUACCGUGCACAAAAGAAAGAAAAGAGGCUAGACUAAACUAUGAAUUACAAAAUCUUAUGUAUCUUCAACUUGCUCUUGUUGCCUUGCUUUCUUGUCGGCUUGUGUUUCUUCCGGUGCUUUUUCUUCCUGACUUGACUUGAAGUCUUCCUUCUGAUUUCUGCGGCAAGAUUUAUGCUGGGGGUAUUUUUU
RNAcentral lists this long non-coding RNA (280 nucleotides) under Nicotiana benthamiana. Its description in RNAcentral is "long non-coding RNA (NBEN_LNC039504)". The record is from RNAcentral. Lineage: Eukaryota; Viridiplantae; Streptophyta; Magnoliopsida; Solanales; Solanaceae.